GACGAACGCUGGCGGCGUGCCUAAUACAUGCAAGUAGAACGCACAGUUUAUACCGUAGCUUGCUACACCAUAGACUGUGAGUUGCGAACGGGUGAGUAACGCGUAGGUAACCUGCCUGGUAGCGGGGGAUAACUAUUGGAAACGAUAGCUAAUACCGCAUAAUAUUGAUUAUUGCAUGAUAAUUAAUUGAAAGGUGCAAUUGCACCACUACCAGAUGGACCUGCGUUGUAUUAGCUAGUAGGUGAGGUAACGGCUCACCUAGGCGACGAUACAUAGCCGACCUGAGAGGGUGAUCAGCCACACUGGGACUGAGACACGGCCCAGACUCCUACGGGAGGCAGCAGUAGGGAAUCUUCGGCAAUGGACGAAAGUCUGACCGAGCAACGCCGCGUGAGUGAAGAAGGUUUUCGGAUCGUAAAGCUCUGUUGUAAGAGAAGAACGGGUGUGAGAGUGGAAAGUUCACACUGUGACGGUAUCUUACCAGAAAGGGACGGCUAACUACGUG
RNAcentral lists this ribosomal RNA (505 nucleotides) under uncultured bacterium. RNAcentral describes it as "partial 16S ribosomal RNA". It matches the Rfam family "Bacterial small subunit ribosomal RNA", at positions 28 to 507 of the family's 1533-position model. The record is from RNAcentral.